UAAUUUCUCAUAAUAGAACCAUGUAACAGUAACUGGCAGGGAAGCAUUUAAAGGACGGACGUGUUUGACAGGAAUAUCCCUUUAAGAAACCAGAGCUGUUCUGUCUCCUGACCGCCACUUCAUUCAUCCUCCUGAAGUGAAUCACAGCGUAAUGACAGACAUGGCCUCUGGGGGCAGCACGUCCCCCACUGCUGCUGCGCCUCGGCUCCUCCUGCUGCAGACCUGUGGAGGUUAAAGGUCACCUUCCUCAGCUCAUGAAGCAUCAGCAGCGACUCGGGGCGCUGACAUGUUGUGCAGGAUCACGGCUCGCCGCCCUGUCCUGUAAUCUGACUUCCUGGCUCCGAACGCAGCAGGACUGUUUGCCUGAUGAGCAGAAAUUACUCGCAGAUGUGAAACACGCUUACUCAUUUCUACCAAAUCAUGGAAAUUAUAUGUUCUCAAGGUAAACAUGGCUCUGAAGCGGGAUGGAAAAGUCAACGCUCUGGACUGUUCCUGGAUUGUUGGCGGACGUUUGGUUCUGACUCUCUGGUUCUGGGCUGACGUGGGAGAAAGCCCAGUCCUCUGGAGGGGAACUGACCACACCGGACCAGGCCGGACCAGAACCAGGACGUUUCCGUGUAGGAGGUGAUCCCAGGCAGGAUUCAUGGCAGCUGCUCUGCAGACGUUUCAGAGCAUCAGGAGUUCUCAUCAGAGAAAUCAUCUCUGCUCCAGUCUGAGAACCAGAACCGGUCCUGGAGGCAGUUUGGACCCAAAUCAUGCUACAGAAGAACAUCAUCAGAACCUGAUUCACCUGACAUGAAGUCAGCUGAUCAUCUGAGGAACCAGUGGAGAUGAUUCAUCACAAACUAACAGCGUUCGUCAGUUUAACACCUGGAUGCACAUCUGGGCCACAUCUGCUGCGCCUGUCGGCGUUCUGGACCCGAGGCGCCGAGCUGCAGGACGCGUCGCUCCAACACCGCUCUUCCACGUUCAGGGCCAAUCAGGACUCAGGAUUUAAAGAUGCUUCUUAUUGUUGCUGUUGUUUCUGAAAGCUUAAGAGGAAAUCAGGACCAAACGAGACCCAGAUGAGCUCAGGCCGAUGACGCCUCCGCUCUGUGGGAAACUGUUUAUAUUUUGCUUUUUCACACGUUUAGGUCAUCAAACAAGUUUUAUUACCCGAUAAAAAGUUAAAGAAAGUCGUUUUAAGCAGAUUUAGCUUGAGACCUGCUCAGCCUGAUGGCGACGGCGCUGCAGUAACGAGGCCUUGGAGGUGGUUUAAUGUUUCAGGACGAUGGGUGACCUCGUGACCUCUGGCACACUUCCUUAGCCUGACUCUGAAUCCAAUCAGGAAGUCAGUCCCGUUCAGUCCUGGACCGAUCCGAAGCUCUCAGGUGAAACUGGUUCCAAAAACACAGAGCAGAAAACUGAAGUUCCAAAUUCAAGUUUUACUAAAAGUAAAAAUACAAUGAAUCGUCUGCUGCGUGAGAACAAGGAGGAGGAGGAGGAGGAGGAGGAGGAAGUCCUAAUAUGUCCUCAGAAAUACAAGCUUUCCAAUAACUGGGCCACCUGGUGGAGGGGCGGGGCGACGCCACCUGGCGGCGGAGCGACGCGACUGUCUGCUCGUCCUGCUUCGUGUUGCCACUCGGAUCCCCAACAACAAAAACUAUUGAGGAAGUUUAAUUAAUGAAUAUCAGUUUCAGAAACUCAAACAAUUUUUUUUCCAGAAAUUUGAUUAAUUAAACUUAAAACUGAAGCAAUUUAUGACCUUAUGAAGAUAUUUAAAGUGUGAUACUUAUUAUUAUUCCCUUGGUUUGUGGUCCAGAUUAACCCCAACAUAUAAACAACGUUUUGCUACAAUCUGCUUUGCCUUGAGAGCGGCCUUCCAUCUGAGCCGAGUUUAGAAAGUUUAUAAAUAUAAUAAAAUGUUUUAUUCAGAACAUAAUCAGAAAAUCUCAGGCAGCGUUUCCUGAGCUUCAGCUUCACUUCGUAUUCAGGUGCAGCUUCCAGCGUCUGAACGUCCAGAUGGUUUCACCGCCGCAGGAAAUGAAGAGGCAGCCUUCAUCCUGCUCCUCUUCCUCACAGCCUCCAUUCUCCUCUUCCUCACUGGACCUGUGGCUGGUUCACAGGACUUUGACUAGGCAGGAAGUUGAACCUCAGGAAGUUCAGAGGUGACGAUUCGUCUCGAUCCAGAAUCAGUAAACCUGAAGCUGGAAGCUUCGGUUCUUCUUCCUGUUUGCACUAUUAAAAAUGGAAACAUAAAUCCGUUGAACUCAUCCUGAGGAAACCAAAGUUCACUCAGGGAUUUUAGGGAAAAUAAAAACAUUUAGUGACGGACGGUUAAAUGAUUUCUGAGACAUCAUUUGAUGGAAACCAAAUCAGAGAGAUCCCUGAGAACGGCAGCGACUCCAUUCCAACCAACAUUUAAUUUGCCGAUCUCAUCCCGUUUAUCUCAAUACAUAAAAUAAAUAAUAAUCAGGACAAAAUGUGACGUUAAAAUCUCAGUUUUCACCUAAAAGACAUUUUAACGUAUUGUUUUCUGAAGAUGCUGGUCUGUUUUUAUAUAUUAAUAUCACUAACACAAAAAACUGAGAAAUGUUUGAUUGCUCUGUUUUCCCUAAAAUAAUUUAUUUUUUACUGUUUUCUAAAGAUUUUAACUUUUUUAUUUGAAGUUUAAACCUGGACUUCUUCACAACAAGGAAAAAGAUUACCGUAUUUUUCAGACUAUAAGCCAUUAUCUCUUUCCCACGUUAUAAGCCGGGCUAAAAGCUGCACCGGUGCUUAUAGUCCAGAAAAUACGGUACAAGGAUCUGUUGGCACUUCCAAGAUAUAUUUUACUCUGAAGUUUCUGUUUUAAUCUGAAAUAGUAAUUUCAUUUAUUUACCUGGAACUUCUUUUAAAAAUGGUAAAACAACUUUUAGUACGUCGACCUCAGUGAGUUUUACUGAGCUCUGGUAAAACGCAUCCAAGAUGGCGUCGCUCCAAACGCAUCCAAGAUGGCGUCGCUCCAAACGCAUCCAAGAUGGCGUCGUUCCAAAGUUUGGUUGCGUCUCAUGGUUCAGCAGAACUUUAAUCAAAGGAGAAAAUUUGGCCCACAGCUGAUCGCCACGCAUCGACGGUUUGAUGCGUUGCUUAGCAACAGACGGGGCGAGCUCACCUUAAAUGUCUCAGGUAAAGUUAAACUGCAUCUCAUCAACAGUUAGCUGAAGAGUAAAACUGUGCAGAAGUUGACGACUGGCGUCAGACUUAAUAUUAAAAUGUUUAAAUAUUUAUAAGAUUAGAGGAUCAGUAAAUGAAUCUGUCUGUAGAUUAUUAUAACAAAUACAAACUUUCUGCAUCAA
This is a long non-coding RNA of Poecilia latipinna (sailfin molly), 3317 nucleotides long. RefSeq lists it as uncharacterized. The transcript has 2 exons. NCBI's taxonomy places the organism in Eukaryota, Metazoa, Chordata, Actinopteri, Cyprinodontiformes, Poeciliidae. The record is from RefSeq and is a predicted model, not a curated record.